Molecule: ribosomal RNA, 459 nt
Filed under: uncultured bacterium
Lineage: Bacteria
Description: partial 16S ribosomal RNA
Rfam family: Bacterial small subunit ribosomal RNA
Source: RNAcentral
CUACGGGGGGCAGCAGUGAGGAAUAUUGGGCAAUGGGCGCAAGCCUGACCCAGCAACGCCGCGUGGAGGAUGAAUGUCGUAAGAUUGUAAACUCCUUUUUGAGGGGACGAAAAAACGGGUUUAUAGCCCGAAUUGACGGUACCCUUAGAAUAAGCCCCGGCUAACUACGUGCCAGCAGCCGCGGUAAUACGUAGGGGGCAAGCGUUGUCCGGAUUUACUGGGUGUAAAGGGCGCGUAGGCGGGCUUGUAAGUCAGGGGUGAAAGCCUACAGCUUAACUGUAGAAUUGCCUUUGAUACUGCAAGUCUUGAGUGCGGAAGAGAGAGGCGGAAUUCCAGGUGUAGUGGUGAAAUAUGUAGAUAUCUGGAAGAACACCAGAGGCGAAGGCGGUCUCUUGGUCCGUUACUGACGCUGAGGCGCGAAAGCGUGGGGAGCAAACAGGAUUAGAUACCCGCGUAGUC